This is a long non-coding RNA of Coffea eugenioides, 361 nucleotides long. RefSeq lists it as uncharacterized. The record is from RefSeq and is a predicted model, not a curated record. The transcript is spliced from 4 exons. Lineage: Eukaryota; Viridiplantae; Streptophyta; Magnoliopsida; Gentianales; Rubiaceae.
UCGACAAAAGAGACUACCGAAGAAUCGUUCUUCACAACGCUCUCGAGGUCCUCCUCAUCAGCUAUCCAGAAACUGAUAAGGUUCUUUUAGUGAUCCAGAAGGUCUUGAAGGCCUCGCGCAUUUUCUUGGUCUAUGCAGCUGCUACUGUCUUUCUUGUACCAUUUUUGGAGAGGAAAGGAAAUUUCCUGAGAGAUUGUUUUCCUCAACAAGAAGGUGCUGGUUGAAGGUUAGGAAGUUAGAAUAGAAACUUCCACGGGGUUGAUACAUUUGCUUGUGAAAGUUAAAAAUAACAUAUUGAAUAGUUGUGCCUUAUAAUUUUCUUUGCCUUUUCUACUCUCGAAUUAUGAUUUGGACUGGGGUA